UCGACCGAGCAAUUUGAAACCAGAUUCCGCUUGCAAUAACCAAAACGCAAAGUAUGAUGUGUAACUUUCUAGAGACGUACCACAAAAGCGGGAAAUUAGUGCGCUGAAAAUGGUUCAUUCCUAAAGUACGACGUGCAAAACCGAACGCGCCGCACCCCGCUAUAACUCUGAGAAAAUCCACCGAACGGAUGAUGCUCCCAGUCAAGCCCCUGCGACGCUGUAAUUCGAUAGUUCCAUUUAAUAGGCGGGCUUUCAGUGGAAAGAUCGGCCAGCUAUUGGCUGACGGUCACGUCAAUCAAGUGCUGAUUUGAAUUAGCAGGUCAGGUUGCAGUUGCAGGGGAGUGGGCAGGGUUGGGAUAGAUAGCGCCAGUGAGCUGAACUUCUGCUGCUGUAGUGUACUAUCAUCAGUUUAAUACUUUAUUUCAGAAAUUAUUUUAUUUGACGAAAACUGCUGUAGCCUUGUGUGUUUUUAUCAUCUCCAUUGAGAACUGUUGGAUUUGCUCUUCAUCCAGUAAUUAACGGGUUUAUCGGGAAGUUAAGAUGUUUACAGGGAUCCAGUGGCAUCCGAUCCUGUGAUUUCUGAAAGCAGCAGCCUUGGGGACGUCCCACCAGAGACUCCUGAAGGGGUCGAGGCGGACACGGUCACUGGAGAGACGCUUUAGGGUCCCCCGUCCCACGCAUCGUGUGCUAUGAUCAAUGGAGAUGUGGUCUGACAUCAGUGCAUACGUGCAGCGUGUCACAGACAUGUGCUCCUGAUUUAACUUGCAUCUCUAGAUGAAGCUGCUUCACUCACUCAUACUUUAUAUUUAACAAUAAUCUUGUUUUCCAAACUGUUGAACUUGUACAGUAAUGAAAAUACAGUAGCUGUGGGAGUGUCUGAGCUGGACUGAGUUAGCUGUCCUCUCCUUUAAUUAAUCACAGUAAUAACUCAACGUUCAUUCUGAUCAGCAUUUUCACUUUUGGUUAAAGAAUUAUAUUAUAUUGUGAAAAUUAGUCAAAUAAAUCAAAAAGAUUCAAA
Molecule: long non-coding RNA, 1018 nt
Organism: Carassius auratus (goldfish)
Lineage: Eukaryota; Metazoa; Chordata; Actinopteri; Cypriniformes; Cyprinidae
Exons: 3
Source: RefSeq, a predicted model, not a curated record